GCCUUAGCCUUUCAUUAGUUUGUGCCUUAGUUUAGGUUAUUUAUAUGUUAUUUAUAUCUUAUGUAUUUAGUUUAUAUUUAGAUUUCCAUCUUGUGUUUAAGUAUUUGUUAGUCUGUCCUUCAUCUCCAUUCUAUAAGUCUACCUAUUAGUCCCUUUAUCUCAUUUCCUAUAUCUGUCUACCAUCUAUUUAGGUAUUAUCUAUAGACUUGACUUCAUUUACUCUUCAAUCAUAAUCAUUUUGCUUUUACUCCUAUGUUUUAGGCUGUUAGAUAUACGGUGC
This 280-nucleotide long non-coding RNA is filed under the name Elaeis guineensis (African oil palm). RNAcentral's name for it is "long non-coding RNA (EGUI_LNC066357)". Lineage: Eukaryota; Viridiplantae; Streptophyta; Magnoliopsida; Arecales; Arecaceae. The record is from RNAcentral.